RNAcentral lists this ribosomal RNA (269 nucleotides) under uncultured prokaryote. Its description in RNAcentral is "partial 16S ribosomal RNA". It matches the Rfam family "Bacterial small subunit ribosomal RNA", at positions 524 to 792 of the family's 1533-position model. The record is from RNAcentral.
UACGUAGGUGGCGAGCGUUGUCCGGAUUUACUGGGCGUAAAGGGAGCGUAGGCGGACUUUUAAGUGAGAUGUGAAAUACCCGGGCUCAACUUGGGUGCUGCAUUUCAAACUGGAAGUCUAGAGUGCAGGAGAGGAGAAUGGAAUUCCUAGUGUAGCGGUGAAAUGCGUAGAGAUUAGGAAGAACACCAGUGGCGAAGGCGAUUCUCUGGACUGUAACUGAUGCUGAGGCUCGAAAGCGUGGGGAGCAAACAGGAUUAGAUACCCCCGUA